Molecule: ribosomal RNA, 447 nt
Filed under: uncultured bacterium
Lineage: Bacteria
Description: partial 16S ribosomal RNA
Rfam family: Bacterial small subunit ribosomal RNA
Source: RNAcentral
AACGAACGCUGGCGGCAUGCCUAACACAUGCAAGUCGAACGAGAUCUUCGGGUCUAGUGGCGCACGGGUGCGUAACGCGUGGGAAUCUGCCCUUUGGUUCGGAAUAACAGUUGGAAACGACUGCUAAUACCGGAUGAUGACGAAAGUCCAAAGAUUUAUCGCCAGAGGAUGAGCCCGCGUAGGAUUAGCUAGUUGGUGUGGUAAAGGCGCACCAAGGCGACGAUCCUUAGCUGGUCUGAGGAUGAUCAGCCACACUGGGACUGAGACACGGCCCAGACUCCUACGGGAGGCAGCAGUGGGGAAUAUUGGACAAUGGGCGAAAGCCUGAUCCAGCAAUGCCGCGUGAGUGAUGAAGGCCUUAGGGUUGUAAAGCUCUUUUACCCGGGAUGAUAAUGACAGUACCGGGAGAAUAAGCUCCGGCUAACUCCGUGCCAGCCGCCGCGGUAA